CCUACGGGAGGCUGCAGUGGGGAAUAUUGGACAAUGGGCGCAAGCCUGAUCCAGCCAUGCCGCGUGUGUGAAGAAGGCCUUCGGGUUGUAAAGCACUUUCAGCAGUGAGGAAAGGAGGUUGGCUAAUACCUGACCUCUGUGACGUUAACCACAGAAGAAGCACCGGCUAACUCCGUGCCAGCAGCCGCGGUACUACGGAGGGUGCAAGCGUUAAUCGGAAUAACUGGGCGUAAAGCGCACGCAGGCGGUUUGUUAAGCCAGAUGUGAAAGCCCCGGGCUCAACCUGGGAACCGCAUUUCGAACUGGCAAACUAGAGUCUUGUAGAGGGGGGUAGAAUUCCAGGUGUAGCGGUGAAAUGCGUAGAGAUCUGGAGGAAUACCGGUGGCGAAGGCGGCCCCCUGGACAAAGACUGACGCUCAGGCACGAAAGCGUGGGGAGCAAACAGGAUUAGAUACCCGGGUAGUC
RNAcentral lists this ribosomal RNA (465 nucleotides) under uncultured Shewanella sp. RNAcentral's name for it is "bacterial SSU rRNA". It matches the Rfam family "Bacterial small subunit ribosomal RNA", at positions 338 to 795 of the family's 1533-position model. The record is from RNAcentral. Lineage: Bacteria; Pseudomonadati; Pseudomonadota; Gammaproteobacteria; Alteromonadales; Shewanellaceae.